GUGGGGAAUUUUGGACAAUGGGGGAAACCCUGAUCCAGCGACGCCGCGUGAAGGAUGAAGGCCUUCGGGUUGUAAACUUCUUUUGGAGGGGACGAAUAAAUUGACGGUAACCUCAGAAAAAGCCAUGGCUAACUACGUGCCAGCAGCCGCGGUAAUACGUAGGUGGCGAGCGUUACUCGGAAUUACUAGGCGUAAAGCGUAUGUAGGCGGUUGUAUAAGUCUAUGGUGAAAUUUCCUGGCUCAACUGGGAAGGGACAUAGAUACUGUAUGGCUUGAGUGUUGGAGGGGGAGACGGAAUUCCUGGUGUAGCGGUGAAAUGCGUAGAUAUCAGGAGGAACACCGAUGGCGAAAGCAGUCUCCUGGCCAAAUACUGACGCUGAGGUACGAAAGCUAGGGUAGCAAACAGGAUUAGAAACCCCUGUAGUCC
Molecule: ribosomal RNA, 427 nt
Filed under: uncultured bacterium
Lineage: Bacteria
Description: partial 16S ribosomal RNA
Rfam family: Bacterial small subunit ribosomal RNA
Source: RNAcentral